Long non-coding RNA from Lepidothrix coronata (blue-crowned manakin), 658 nucleotides. RefSeq lists it as uncharacterized. Lineage: Eukaryota; Metazoa; Chordata; Aves; Passeriformes; Pipridae. The record is from RefSeq and is a predicted model, not a curated record. The transcript is spliced from 3 exons.
GUGGUGAGGCCCCUCUGGCCCCUGUGCAGCCCGGGGGUGGGUCUGAGGCUCUGCUCUCCUGCUCAGCAGUAGGGAUGGCUCCCCACACAUUGGCUGCACAGAGCUUGCUCCCUCUUCUGGGACGUUCUUUCCCCCUUUGUAUCUUCGUCCUUGUCUUUGUCAGUGUGAGUGAGCAAGUGGGCUUGUCCUUUAGCCCCUGUAGAAAUGAGGGUAGUGUAGCUUAGACCUUCCAGGAGGCAGAGAGGGGCUCUGUGCAGCAGCAUGGGGGUGCCCUCUAAACCCAUGGGUGGAGACAGGGUCUGGCCUUGCCCCUUCUUCCUGAGGAUGGAGCGAAGCCCCUUAGUGGUGGUGUGGGCACUGUAACCCACCUGUAGCCAGGGCCUGAGUGUUUGCCUGUGCUGUGGGGCUGCCUGUCCUGCUGGUGACGUGCCAGUGUGUGCCCCCCUGUCCCCAGGGCUGGGGCCCUGUCCCCCCCUGCCUGAGGCCACGAGGCCAUUGUUGGGAGUGCCGGGCCUUGGGGGGCGGCCCCGUACGUGGGUCUUUGUGUGUCCCCCCUGCUUGGCGGGAAGUUGGAGGGACCCCCUGUACUCAGGCGGGUAUCCCAUGGGGUCCCUGGUCUUCCACAGGGAUUGGGCUGGGCGUGUGCCCUCCCUGUCCU